Molecule: ribosomal RNA, 439 nt
Filed under: uncultured bacterium
Lineage: Bacteria
Description: partial 16S ribosomal RNA
Rfam family: Bacterial small subunit ribosomal RNA
Source: RNAcentral
CUACGGGAGGCAGCAGUGAGGAAUAUUGCACAAUGGGGGGAAUCCUGAUGCAGCAACGCCGCGUGGAGGAUGACGCAUUUCGGUGUGUAAACUCCUUUUAUAUGUCAAGAAAAUGACGGUAGCAUAUGAAUAAGCACCGGCUAACUCCGUGCCAGCAGCCGCGGUAAUACGGAGGGUGCAAGCGUUACUCGGAAUCACUGGGCGUAAAGGACGCGUAGGCGGGUUGGAAAGUCAGGUGUGAAAUCCUACAGCUUAACUGUAGAACUGCACUUGAAACUUCUAAUCUAGAGUAUGGGAGGGGGAGAUGGAAUUCGUGGUGUAGGGGUAAAAUCCGUAGAUAUCACUAGGAAUACCUAAAGCGAAGGCGAUCUCCUGGAACAUUACUGACGCUAAGGCGUGAAAGCGUGGGGAGCAAACAGGAUUAGAUACCCUCGUAGUC